UUCGUUUUUCUGUUUUGCCUCCAUGCUUCUUUCAUUUGUCUCCAAGCUUCUUUCAUUUGUCUCAGUGUUAAAAAACCUAGGGUUUUAGGAAGAAGAGCGAGGAGUGUGACGACGACACCAUCCAUCUCUACGACCUCUCCACCGCCUCCUCCCUCAGUUCCCUUCACCAACACUCUGCCUUUGUCACCGCCUUCUCCUUCUACGCCCCUACCAAUAUUUCGUUCCCCCGCAACCUCAUCUCCGCCAACGUCGCUGGCUCUCUCACCAUUUUUUACGCGGACGGCUUCGUCCAUCUUACUACGCUUUUCUUCCACUACCACGGCGCUAUCAACGACCUUGCCCUGAACCGUUCGGUGAGUGCGCCCUCACCGUUGCUUGUGACAACUGCCUCGCCAUCAUCAACCUCGUCCGCGGUCGCCGCAACUGCUUCUUGCGCCUCGACAAGGAAGCUACUCUGGUCAAGUUUAAUGUGUCCGGCGACCACUUUUUUAUGCAAAGAAGAAGGUUUCUGUCCACCACUUUUUGUUAAGUUUUAUGGGAUUCUUGUGAUGCAUCUUUAGGAGAUCUUCAUUGUGCUACCGGUGUUGCGUUUAGGGGGUGUUGCAUUUAGGGAAGAUUCAGAGGGCUUUUAAGGUAUGUUUUGUUUUAUGUGUUUGGUGAUUGAGAAUAUUAUUGAAUGAGUCGCAAAUGCAAGAUCACAGGUACAAAAUGGUAGAGCAAAAUCUUAUCAGUGAGAAGGUGUUUUCCUUUUUGUUGAAUGGGUAUCCAAAUGCGAAAAAAGGUGGUGAAAUGGUUUUCGGUGGUGUUAACCUAAAGCACUUUAAAGGAGACCACACUUAUAUUCCAGUUACUAAAAAAGGUUACUGGUAGAUUGAAAUUGGAGAGUUUUUCAUUGGAGGUGCUUCUACAGGUGUUUGUGAGGGUGGUUGUGCUGCUAUUGUGGAUUCAGGAACAUCUUUGCUUGCUGGUCCAACCUUAUGUGCUUCGAUAGUUAUUAUACCUUAGGCUGCACUGCUAUCCUUGGGAUUUUAUAGACCCUAAUUUUUCUAAUGUUUUGUUUUCCUAUAUUAUUUGAUGCUUUGCUAACUGAAUUUUCUCUCUUCUUUUUUAUUUAUAUAGCUGGAAAAUUAUUCAAAAAUUGAAGAGGCUAAAAUAGAGGAGCUCAUGAAGGCAGUAGCAGAUUCUAGUGCCAAAGUGAUUGUUAAUGGAGGAGUAGUUGGAGAGAUGGCUUUGCAUUUCUGUGACCGUUAAGAGCUUAUGGUUCUGAAAAUCAGCUCAAAGUUUGAACUAUGACGAUUUUGCAGAACAACUGGUUCUAUUGCUAUGUUGAAACUCAGCCAACCGAAUGCAAAUGAUCUUGGAUAUGUGGAUUCUGUUUCAGUUCAGGAAAUUAGUGGUGUCAGGAUUCGUUUGCCAUGGGAGUUUAUAGAUUCAUUUGACUUGGCGUGGAGAUGGAAACAGCAGCAAUGGCAGAGGAGGCACAAGCAGAAGCCAUUAACCCUUGAUUCAAAAUAUAAAUUUUUUGUUCAAGACGAGAAUGAAGGCUGGGAGUGAAAGUGCUGGUACUGGCUGCCUCACUUUUUCAUAUCCAAAGAAACUUGAUAAUGAGGUGGAAGGAAAUACAUUCCAAAAAAACAGUGACUUUGACGAAGUCUGAGUAUCAGCUUGAUCUGUUGUCAAGUACUCCAAUUCUGUUUGUGAAUAUUUGUAUAGAUAAAUUAGUUACAAAAAUGUAAUGUUCUCAUUCUUUUCUGUUCAUAAAUUUUGAGUGUAAUUGUUCACUCUUGAAGAUGGAAGUGGUUUGAGAUAUCCAUGUAAUGAAUAAAUGAUGAUGCUAACAUGUCAUCCAUGUCAUGUCAGUUUAAACAA
Molecule: RNA transcript, 1869 nt
Organism: Vigna angularis (adzuki bean)
Lineage: Eukaryota; Viridiplantae; Streptophyta; Magnoliopsida; Fabales; Fabaceae
Exons: 8
Source: RefSeq, a predicted model, not a curated record